CCUACGGGAGGCAGCAGUGAGGAAUAUUGGUCAAUGGGCGCGAGCCUGAACCAGCCAAGUAGCGUGAAGGAUGACUGCCCUACGGGUUGUAACCUUCUUUUAUAAAGGAAUAAAGUGAGGCACGUGUGCCUUUUUGUAUGUACUUUAUGAAUAAGGAUCGGCUAACUCCGUUCCGGCAGCAGCGGUAAUACGGGGGAUCCGAGCGUUAUCCGGAUUUAUUUUGUUUAAAGGAAGUGUAGAUGGGUUUUGAAGUCAGUUGUGAAAGUUUGCGGCUCAACCGUAAAAUUGCAAUGGAUACUGGCAGCCUUGAGUACAGUUGAGGUAGGCGGAAUUCGUGGUGUAGCGGUGAAAUGCUUAGAUA
Molecule: ribosomal RNA, 361 nt
Filed under: uncultured bacterium
Lineage: Bacteria
Description: partial 16S ribosomal RNA
Rfam family: Bacterial small subunit ribosomal RNA
Source: RNAcentral